This 735-nucleotide ribosomal RNA is filed under the name uncultured bacterium. Its description in RNAcentral is "bacterial SSU rRNA". It matches the Rfam family "Bacterial small subunit ribosomal RNA", at positions 335 to 1062 of the family's 1533-position model. The record is from RNAcentral.
ACUCCUACGGGGGGCUGCAGUGGGGAAUAUUGGACAAUGGGCGAAAGCCUGAUCCAGCCAUGCCGCGUGUGUGAAGAAGGCCUUAUGGUUGUAAAGCACUUUAAGUGGGGAGGAAAAGCUUAUGGAUAAUACCCGUAGGUUCUGACGUUACCCACAGAAUAAGCACCGGCUAACUCUGUGCCAGCAGCCGCGGUAAUACAGAGGGUGCGAGCGUUAAUCGGAAUUACUGGGCGUAAAGCGAGCGUAGGUGGUUUAUUAAGUCAGAUGUGAAAUCCCUGGGCUUAACCUAGGAACUGCAUCUGAUACUGAUAAACUAGAGUAGGUGAGAGGAAAGUAGAAUUCCAGGUGUAGCGGUGAAAUGCGUAGAUAUCUGGAGGAAUACCGAUGGCGAAGGCAGCUUUCUGGCAUCAUACUGACACUGAGGUUCGAAAGCGUGGGUAGCAAACAGGAUUAGAUACCCUGGUAGUCCACGCCGUAAACGAUGUCUACCAGUCGUUGGGUCUUUUAAAGACUUAGUGACGCAGUUAACGCAAUAAGUAGACCGCCUGGGGAGUACGGCCGCAAGGUUAAAACUCAAAUGAAUUGACGGGGGCCCGCACAAGCGGUGGAGCAUGUGGUUUAAUUCGAUGCAACGCGAAGAACCUUACCUGGUCUUGACAUAGUGAGAAUCUUGCAGAGAUGCGAGAGUGCCUUUGGGAAUUCACAUACAGGUGGUGCAUGGAUGUCGUCAGCUCG